AUGUGGCUACAGGGAGGGACAACUUCGACGCUUACCACGAUGUUCAAACCAGAGGUGUCGGGAGUUUGGGUCUGCGGUGUUGCUGGCCCUAGAGAUGAAGACGCACACUUAAGAGGGCAAAAUAAGGGACUUCCAGAUCUUCUAAUGACUCACGGGGGAUAUCUUGACUGUCAUGAUGCCUGCACCCCCCCCCCCAACGUUGCAUCAAUUGUCAGCACAGCCGAGCUGAAGUCUCUCCUGUUCCAGGUGCUGCGUGCAUGGUUGCUGAACUGCCUGGUGACCCGACAAAGGCCUCUGGCCUCAGGAUCACCAACCACCAGGCCCACACGAAGAGUUAAACCACAGCGGAAGGACACGCAAGAUCGAAUCCCAUCCCGGAAGUCUGCCAUCCUCUUAACACAUGGGAGCUACUCCAGGUGUGGCCUUCAAGGGUGGGGGACCCUGAAGAAGCACACAGAUCCUGAGGGCGGAGGCCUCAGCCGAGCUGCCACACCCAGCGCAAGGGUUCUGGGAGGUGAGUCGGGCGCUCCGUGUCCGUCACCCCCUCCCCAUGCCACUGAAGGCGUCUCUGACACAUGGAGGUGGUUGUGCUUGGGGAGAAACACCUUCAGCCUAGAUGCCAGCCGGUCAGCUCCUUGCAGUGGUGUCGUGGCCAGCGCCCACUCCCAGAGCCCCAGCACCUGCCCCGCGAGGCGUGGUCCCAGACACGGCGUACCUCCCUGGGACCAGGCUUCCCUGCCAUUCUCCGAUCUUGCAGAGCCUCUGCCCACAGACUGGAUGGCACGUGGCCAGAAAGAAGAGUGCCCAUGCUCGCACAUACACACACCUCUUCUCUCGGCUCCUGACUUAGCCCUAAGUUGA
Molecule: long non-coding RNA, 861 nt
Organism: Oryctolagus cuniculus (rabbit)
Lineage: Eukaryota; Metazoa; Chordata; Mammalia; Lagomorpha; Leporidae
Source: Ensembl